Long non-coding RNA from Alexandromys fortis (reed vole), 2049 nucleotides. RefSeq lists it as uncharacterized. The transcript has 2 exons. The record is from RefSeq and is a predicted model, not a curated record. Lineage: Eukaryota; Metazoa; Chordata; Mammalia; Rodentia; Cricetidae.
GGACACCAGGUCAGACAAUCUAGAGACAGGGACAGCUUCCGGGGACUGCAGGAGACCCCUGACAGGCAACACUUUUUUUUUUUUUUUGAGACAGGGUUUCUCUGUAGCUUUGGAGCCUGUCCUGGAACUAGCUCUUGCAGACCAGGCUGGCCUCGAACUCCCAGAGAUCCGCCUGCCUCUGCCUCCCGAGUGCCGGGAUUAAAGGCAUGCACCACCACCGCCUGGCAUCCCAACCCCAACAUGGCGUCGCCCCAUAACAUCUGAGCUCCUAGAUGUCCCAAAGCUUCAGAUGACAAACGCAUUUUCCUGUCUGAUCUCUACUCAUUCUUCCUGAGACAGGGUCUCAAUUGUAGCGCAGACUGUGUUAAACUCGUCCCAAUCCUUCCUCAGCCACCCGACUACGGGGAUGACAGGCAUGUGCCAUCACGCCCAGCUACUGCUGACCUCUCGUCUAAACAGUCUGCGGCUGAGGAGUCUCCGCAGGCCUCCCAGCACAGAUGCCGAGCUCAUCCCUCACUAACUCCCAGAAGGAAACGUGUCGUGUCUGCUAUCUCUGCACUUGACUUUCACUUGGCUCUUGGAGACCAAUGAUGCCAGUUUCCUGGAGUCUGCAGCAGCACUCAGUCAAUGCUCAAGGCCACAACCUGACUGUGCAAUCCAGAAGGUCACCAAGCUCAGCAAGUGUGUACAACUGACCACGCCCCCAGCCCCUCACUGGCGGAUUCUAGGCGGGGCUUCACCUUGACCACGCCCCCAGCCCCUCACUGGUGGAUUCUAGGCAGGGCCCUGUCCCUAGCCAUUCUUUUUUGUUUUGCUUUUUUUUUUUUUUUUUUUUUUUUCCUAGCUGUAGACCAGGCAGGCCUUGAACUAACAGCUCCACCUGCCCCUGCCUCCCUGAGUGCUUAGGACUAAAGGCAUUUGUGCUGCCACCAGCCGGCCUCUCAAGUGGUAUUUCCAGCAAUCCUCCUGUGGAGGGCAAUCCCCCCUGUGCCGCCCACACUUUGCUCUCCCCGUCAGAGCCUUGGGGAAUGGGAGGAUUCCAUUCUGUCUGGGUGGAUAUUCCUAACUCAUAGGCAAGCACCUAUAAAGACUGACUCGGUGAACUCGGCUGCAGUCCCUGGGUGCUGUCUCCCAGGCUCUAGCCCAGAGCUGUUGAGCACCUACAUUCAUGUGCUGAUAAUGUGUGCACAGUCAGUCACGACCUCUAGAGAAAGGGUGUCAUCCUUCCCCAGGGUGUAGACUUCAUUCUUCCCCAGUGACUCAGGUCAGAGGGUGGAGCUCCUGGUUGGGAUUCAAGGCCACUGGGCCCCUCUCUGUUGUGGGCUGCAGGUAGGACUGCCUUGCCAAGGAUCUAUAAACCUGAGUUCUGCUGGGUUAGCAGCCUACUCCUUUAACCUCUGGGAUUCAGAGGCAGGAGGAUCUCUGUGAGUUCUAGGCCAACCAGAGCUACAUAGAGAGACCUUGUUUCAAAAAUCAAAAACAAUAUCAGCAGCAGCAGCAACAACAAAUCCUAAUUUAGCUCUCUGUGCCUGGUACAAACUCUCAACAGAUGCUUGCAGUGACUGUAAAUCUGACAGAUGAAAUUCCAGAUCCAGCAGGGGUUUUAGGGUCCCCGAAGGAGCCACUGCUUGAUGGUGGUUGGCAACCAGUCUGCAGAAGCCCUGGUGGGGACAAAGGGCCCCUUCAAGGUAUUCAGCUCUCCACAGGGGUCUGUUGUCAGCUCUGCCCGUCGAGGACAAGGGGGCACAGAGAGGUGGAGUUACAAGUUCCCCUAGCGGUGAUGGUGGAGCCCGUUCUUUCCCAGCUAGGACCUCCUCCUCCAGAAAGCCUGCUCUACCCAGCCCCACCCUGGAACUGUGACUCCCUAUAGAAACUGAGUUUAUGGUCCCUGCGGGCACACCUGCUUGCUCUGGCUUCCUACCUGCAGGGCAAAGGUGCCUUGGUGGGGCCAGCAGGUCACCUAGUAGGGUGGUGUCCUUAGGAGUCCUCUGUCUGUCCUGCCCCUCAGGGCCUCCUUGUUGCCUAGAUAGCUGGCCCUGGGGAAACCAG